RNAcentral lists this ribosomal RNA (459 nucleotides) under uncultured bacterium. RNAcentral's name for it is "partial 16S ribosomal RNA". It matches the Rfam family "Bacterial small subunit ribosomal RNA", at positions 338 to 795 of the family's 1533-position model. The record is from RNAcentral.
CCUACGGGGGGCAGCAGUGAGGACUAUUGGUCAAUGGCCGGAAGGCUGAACCAGCCAUGCCGCGUGAAGGUCAGUGCCCUAUGGGCGUUAAACUUCUUUUGUGCGGGAGCAAUAAUGGUCACGUGUGGCCAGACGAGAGUACCGUACGACUAAGCACCGGCUAACUCCGUGCCAGCAGCCGCGGUAAUACGGGGGAUGCAAGCGUUAUCCGGAUUUAGUGGGUUUAAAGGGUGCGUAAGCUGUGAGGUAAGUCAGCGGUGAAAAGCCCGGCGCAACGGGGUGAAGUGCCAUUGAUACUGCCUUGCUGGAAUGCGGAUGCCGUGGGAGGAAUGUGUGGUGUAGCGGUGAAAUGCAUAGAUAUCACACAGAACACCGAUUGCGAAGGCAUCUCACGAAUCCGCGAUUGACGCUGAUGCACGAAAGCGUGGGUAUCAAACAGGAUUAGAUACCCUAGUAGUC